UUUGGCUUCAUCCUGCCGAGUUCCGCCUCGGCUCCUAGAGGACCCUCCGUGUCCUGCUACCGCUGGAAGUGGGUCCCCCCGGUCCCAAACGAGGUUCUUCGUGGAGGGUCCGAGAAUCGCUUUGCCAACAUAACAUUCCUUGAGUUGUUUCAGGGUCUAGUCCUUUUCUGGAAUCCUGGGUCGACAACUCUGUCUUGCUGCUGUGCCUACACGCUUGUUCUUCUGUCAGCUUCACAAGCUGGUCCCCCCUCUUCUCCAGGCGUAUUCCCACACAUCCUGUUGGUCUCAUCUUUUGUACGGCUUCCUCUGCAAAGCAUUCCUGGACUUCCCAAGUCUGGCUUAGAUGUUCCUGGGAAGAAUUCCCAACACCUCCUAUGAGUCACUGCCUUGUGGUUAGGAUAAAUCCAGGACUUUAUAGAGAUUAUUUCUUUCUUUUGACACAGCAGCUGUAUGGAGCUGUUUUCGGUCAAGGACACUUGCCUUUGGCUGGAAAAAUACUAAAAUUUUGCUUUUUCGUUUUGUAAUUAGUGAGCAAUGAGGCAACAGAACCCCCCUUAUCCCACAUCUCACGGGAUGCUGUCACAUGAUAGAAGCUUAAGAAAUUUAUGUAUUAAAAGGAUAAGGAAAUGAAUGAAUUCCACAUUGUAUUGCAUAACCAACACUCCCCUCUCUCUCAUGCUUCCAUUUUAGUGAAUGGUUAAUGUGGAACCAAGAAUCAAAUCAAGUUAUUCUAUAACUCAGCUUAAACCUAGUACAUUGUAUUUUAAGGGGGGAUUCCUGAAAGCACAAACUGACUCAGAAACAGAGUCCAGUUUCGAGGGAACUAUUCUCUGUUAGGGAGAAGAGCUUGAAUUGACUCUCAUCUAACUUGGAUUUACAACCUGCAGAUUACAUUCACUUGUUGAGACGUGUAUUGAGUUCCUAGUAUGUGUCAAGCUCUAUUCUAGAAGCUGGGGUUAAUGGCGAUGAACAAACAUGCAAGAACCUGUCACUCAAGUGGAAGAAGGCAGACAAUCCAGAAGGAAAUUAGAUAGUUUUAAAAGGUGGUAAAUGCCACAGAAAAUAAAGCAGGUAAUAAGGCUUUGGUGGGAUUCAAGGAGGAAGUACUUCAGUUAGGGAAGUGAUUUCCAAUGCACAAUCUGGGAACAAGAAUGAGUUCCAGGGGCCAGCCCGGUGGCACAGCAGUUAAGUGUGCACAUUCUGCUUUGGUGGCCUGGGGUUCACCGGUUCGAAUCCUGGGUGCGGACAUGGCACUGCUUGGCAAGCCAUGCUGUGGUAGCUGUCCCACGUAUAAAAUAGAGGAAGAUGGGCAUAGAUGUUAGCUCAGGGCCAGUCUUCCUCAAAAAAAAAAAAAAAAAGAAUGAGUUCCAUUGCCAGGGCAAUAAGGGGAUGGAAUAUCCCAAUCUAGGAGAGGCAUAUCUCUAAUUAUACAUACAUAAUUGACAACGUGAUUUAAAGAUUAGUCAUUUGGUUAGUUUGAUUCAUUUUAAUAAUUUCCAAGAGCCUGAAUAAUUCUGUGUAUACUGACUAAAUUUGAUUUUCGACUGCAAGUGCUGAGAGCCAGACUCCAGAAUGUGGUGCCCAUCCCAAAGUAUUGUUGCUCGUGGACGCCUGACUAGAACAUUGUCCAGCAACUAGAAUGGCCCCAUUCCUUCAUUACUUUCUCACAUCCUGACCCACAAUUUCACUAACUGGGGGGAGAAGAGUGUGCAGUGUUAAGAACUCCUGGCUCCAAUUACUAGCUGCAUGACCUCAAGCAAAGUAUUCCUCAGCUAUAAAGUGGGGAUAACAUACGACAUACCUUUCUGAAAGGUUUCUGGCUUGAUGUAUGCCUACUUACAACUUACCAUAAAAGGAGCCUCAUGUAUACUUCCAACAGUCCCCCAACCCCUUAUGCCAAAAGCAAAUAAAAACAAUCCAGUUGAAAGCAAUGUGUGAGCUGAUAAGACUAUUUACAGCACUGUGUGAAGAGGAGUGAA
This is a long non-coding RNA of Equus asinus (donkey), 1979 nucleotides long. Lineage: Eukaryota; Metazoa; Chordata; Mammalia; Perissodactyla; Equidae. The record is from Ensembl.